This 301-nucleotide ribosomal RNA is filed under the name uncultured bacterium. RNAcentral describes it as "partial 16S ribosomal RNA". It matches the Rfam family "Bacterial small subunit ribosomal RNA", at positions 509 to 807 of the family's 1533-position model. The record is from RNAcentral.
CAGUAGCCACGGGAAUACGGAGGGUGCAAGCGUUAAUCGGAAUUACUGGGCGUAAAGCGUGCGUAGGCGGUUCGUUAAGUCUGUUGUGAAAGCCCCGGGCUCAACCUGGGAAUGGCAAUGGAUACUGGCGAGCUAGAGUGUGUCAGAGGAUGGUGGAAUUCCCGGUGUAGCGGUGAAAUGCGUAGAGAUCGGGAGGAACAUCAGUGGCGAAGGCGGCCAUCUGGGACAACACUGACGCUGAGGCACGAAAGCGUGGGGAGCAAACAGGAUUAGAUACCCGAGUAGUCCCUGUCUCUUAUAC